Long non-coding RNA from Penaeus monodon (black tiger shrimp), 192 nucleotides. RefSeq lists it as uncharacterized. The record is from RefSeq and is a predicted model, not a curated record. Lineage: Eukaryota; Metazoa; Arthropoda; Malacostraca; Decapoda; Penaeidae. The transcript has 4 exons.
CGAUCUGUCGCCGGGACUCAAGAUUCUGAACGUCAGUUCCACUUGCAUAAGGACUUUGAGUGGGACCUCGAGACUGAGUAUUAUUCAAGAAGACUUCCCUUGGGUGAACUGCAGUUUCCCUGAUCGAGAUAAGGUGAAGGAAGAAGGAACGAAGCCCGAGGCAAAAGUCUUCAUGCAAGCCAUUGGCUACUU